This 2919-nucleotide ribosomal RNA is filed under the name Klebsiella pneumoniae. RNAcentral's name for it is "bacterial LSU rRNA". It matches the Rfam family "Bacterial large subunit ribosomal RNA". The record is from RNAcentral. Lineage: Bacteria; Pseudomonadati; Pseudomonadota; Gammaproteobacteria; Enterobacterales; Enterobacteriaceae.
GGGUUGUGAGGUUAAGCGACUAAGCGUACACGGUGGAUGCCCUGGCAGUCAGAGGCGAUGAAGGACGUGCUAAUCUGCGAAAAGCGUCGGUAAGGUGAUAUGAACCGUUAUAACCGGCGAUGUCCGAAUGGGGAAACCCAGUGCAAUUCGUUGCACUAUCGUUAACUGAAUACAUAGGUUAACGAGGCGAACCGGGGGAACUGAAACAUCUAAGUACCCCGAGGAAAAGAAAUCAACCGAGAUUCCCCAGUAGCGGCGAGCGAACGGGGAGCAGCCCAGAGUCUGAAUCAGCUUGUGUGUUAGUGGAACGGUCUGGAAAGUCCGACGGUACAGGGUGAUAGUCCCGUACACCAAAAUGCACAGGCUGUGAACUCGAAGAGUAGGGCGGGACACGUGGUAUCCUGUCUGAAUAUGGGGGGACCAUCCUCCAAGGCUAAAUACUCCUGACUGACCGAUAGUGAACCAGUACCGUGAGGGAAAGGCGAAAAGAACCCCGGCGAGGGGAGUGAAAAAGAACCUGAAACCGUGUACGUACAAGCAGUGGGAGCACCUUCGGGUGUGACUGCGUACCUUUUGUAUAAUGGGUCAGCGACUUAUAUUCUGUAGCAAGGUUAACCGUAUAGGGGAGCCGCAGGGAAACCGAGUCUUAACUGGGCGUUAAGUUGCAGGGUAUAGACCCGAAACCCGGUGAUCUAGCCAUGGGCAGGUUGAAGGUUGGGUAACACUAACUGGAGGACCGAACCGACUAAUGUUGAAAAAUUAGCGGAUGACUUGUGGCUGGGGGUGAAAGGCCAAUCAAACCGGGAGAUAGCUGGUUCUCCCCGAAAGCUAUUUAGGUAGCGCCUCGUGAACUCAUCUUCGGGGUAGAGCACUGUUUCGGCUAGGGGGUCAUCCCGACUUACCAACCCGAUGCAAACUACGAAUACCGAAGAAUGUUAUCACGGGAGACACACGGCGGGUGCUAACGUCCGUCGUGAAGAGGGAAACAACCCAGACCGCCAGCUAAGGUCCCAAAGUCAUGGUUAAGUGGGAAACGAUGUGGGAAGGCACAGACAGCCAGGAUGUUGGCUUAGAAGCAGCCAUCAUUUAAAGAAAGCGUAAUAGCUCACUGGUCGAGUCGGCCUGCGCGGAAGAUGUAACGGGGCUAAACCAUGCACCGAAGCUGCGGCAGCGACACUAUGUGUUGUUGGGUAGGGGAGCGUUCUGUAAGCCUGCGAAGGUGUGCUGUGAGGCAUGCUGGAGGUAUCAGAAGUGCGAAUGCUGACAUAAGUAACGAUAAAGCGGGUGAAAAGCCCGCUCGCCGGAAGACCAAGGGUUCCUGUCCAACGUUAAUCGGGGCAGGGUGAGUCGACCCCUAAGGCGAGGCCGAAAGGCGUAGUCGAUGGGAAACAGGUUAAUAUUCCUGUACUUGGUGUUACUGCGAAGGGGGACGGAGAAGGCUAUGUUAGCCGGGCGACGGUUGUCCCGGUUUAAGCAUGUAGGCUGAUUGUCCAGGCAAAUCCGGAUAAUCAAGGCUGAGGUGUGAUGACGAGGCACUACGGUGCUGAAGUAACAAAUGCCCUGCUUCCAGGAAAAGCCUCUAAGCAUCAGGUAACAUUAAAUCGUACCCCAAACCGACACAGGUGGUCAGGUAGAGAAUACCAAGGCGCUUGAGAGAACUCGGGUGAAGGAACUAGGCAAAAUGGUGCCGUAACUUCGGGAGAAGGCACGCUGGUGUGUAGGUGAAGUCCCUGCGGAUGGAGCUGAGACCAGUCGAAGAUACCAGCUGGCUGCAACUGUUUAUUAAAAACACAGCACUGUGCAAACACGAAAGUGGACGUAUACGGUGUGACGCCUGCCCGGUGCCGGAAGGUUAAUUGAUGGGGUUAUCCGUAAGGAGAAGCUCUUGAUCGAAGCCCCGGUAAACGGCGGCCGUAACUAUAACGGUCCUAAGGUAGCGAAAUUCCUUGUCGGGUAAGUUCCGACCUGCACGAAUGGCGUAAUGAUGGCCAGGCUGUCUCCACCCGAGACUCAGUGAAAUUGAACUCGCUGUGAAGAUGCAGUGUACCCGCGGCAAGACGGAAAGACCCCGUGAACCUUUACUAUAGCUUGACACUGAACAUUGAGCCUUGAUGUGUAGGAUAGGUGGGAGGCUUUGAAGCGUGGACGCCAGUCUGCGUGGAGCCAACCUUGAAAUACCACCCUUUAAUGUUUGAUGUUCUAACGUUGGCCCCUGACCGGGGUUGCGGACAGUGUCUGGUGGGUAGUUUGACUGGGGCGGUCUCCUCCCAAAGCGUAACGGAGGAGCACGAAGGUUAGCUAAUCCUGGUCGGACAUCAGGAGGUUAGUGCAAUGGCAUAAGCUAGCUUGACUGCGAGCGUGACGGCGCGAGCAGGUGCGAAAGCAGGUCAUAGUGAUCCGGUGGUUCUGAAUGGAAGGGCCAUCGCUCAACGGAUAAAAGGUACUCCGGGGAUAACAGGCUGAUACCGCCCAAGAGUUCAUAUCGACGGCGGUGUUUGGCACCUCGAUGUCGGCUCAUCACAUCCUGGGGCUGAAGUAGGUCCCAAGGGUAUGGCUGUUCGCCAUUUAAAGUGGUACGCGAGCUGGGUUUAGAACGUCGUGAGACAGUUCGGUCCCUAUCUGCCGUGGGCGCUGGAGAAUUGAGGGGGCUGCUCCUAGUACGAGAGGACCGGAGUGGACGCAUCACUGGUGUUCGGGUUGUCAUGCCAAUGGCACUGCCCGGUAGCUAAAUGCGGAAGAGAUAAGUGCUGAAAGCAUCUAAGCACGAAACUUGCCCCGAGAUGAGUUCUCCCUGAGACUUUAAGUCUCCUGAAGGAACGUUAAAGACGAUGACGUUGAUAGGCCGGGUGUGUAAGCGCAGCGAUGCGUUGAGCUAACCGGUACUAAUGAACCGUGAGGCUUAACCUUACAACGCCGAAG